RNAcentral lists this transfer RNA (73 nucleotides) under Blumeria graminis f. sp. tritici JIW2. RNAcentral describes it as "tRNA-Lys (CTT) (tRNA-Lys-CTT-4-1)". It matches the Rfam family "tRNA". From Rfam's summary of the family: Transfer RNA (tRNA) molecules are approximately 80 nucleotides in length. The record is from RNAcentral. RNAcentral also lists the same sequence under 1 other name. Lineage: Eukaryota; Fungi; Ascomycota; Leotiomycetes; Helotiales; Erysiphaceae.
GCCCUGGUAGCUCAAUCGGUAGAGCGUGUGGCUCUUAAUCUCAAGGUCGCGGGUUCGAGCUCCGCCUCGGGCU